This 28-nucleotide non-coding RNA is filed under the name Mus musculus (house mouse). The record is from RNAcentral. Lineage: Eukaryota; Metazoa; Chordata; Mammalia; Rodentia; Muridae.
UUUCUUGGACUUGUUUCUCAUCUACCAA